RNAcentral lists this ribosomal RNA (301 nucleotides) under uncultured bacterium. RNAcentral describes it as "partial 16S ribosomal RNA". It matches the Rfam family "Bacterial small subunit ribosomal RNA", at positions 509 to 807 of the family's 1533-position model. The record is from RNAcentral.
CAGCCGCCGCGGUAAUACGGAGGGGGCUAGCGUUGUUCGGAAUUACUGGGCGUAAAGCGCACGUAGGCGGCUUUGUAAGUUAGAGGUGAAAGCCCGGAGCUCAACUCCGGAAUUGCCUUUAAGACUGCCGAGCUAGUAGGUGAGAGAGGUAAGUGGAAUUCCGAGCGUAGAGGUGAAAUUCGUAGAUAUUCGGAAGAACACCAGUGGCGAAGGCGGCUUACUGGCUCAUUCUAGACGCUGAGGUGCGAAAGCGUGGGGAGCAAACAGGAUUAGAUACCCGCGUAGUCCCUGUCUCUUAUAC